CCUACGGGUGGCAGCAGUGGGGAAUAUUGGGCAAUGGGCGCAAGCCUGACCCAGCAACGCCGCGUGAAGGAAGAAGGCUUUCGGUUUGUAAACUUCUUUUAUCAGGGACGAAGAAAGUGACGGUACCUGAGGAAUAAGCCACGGCGAACUACGUGCCAGCCGCCGCGGUAAUAAGUAGGUGGCAAGCGUUAUCCGGAUUUAUUGGGUGUAAAGGGCGUGUAGGCGGGAGGCCAAGUCAGAUGUGAAAACUCAGGGCUCAACCCUGGGACUGCAUUUGAAACUGGGUUUCUUGAGUGCUGGAGAGGCAAGCGGAAUUCCGGGUGUAGCGGUGAAAUGCGUAGAUAUACGGAGGAACACCAGUGGCGAAGGCGGAUUGCUGGACAGUAACUGACGCUGAGGCGCGAAAGCGUGGGGAGCAAACAGGAUUAGAUACCCUUGUAGUC
RNAcentral lists this ribosomal RNA (443 nucleotides) under uncultured bacterium. Its description in RNAcentral is "partial 16S ribosomal RNA". It matches the Rfam family "Bacterial small subunit ribosomal RNA", at positions 338 to 795 of the family's 1533-position model. The record is from RNAcentral.